UGGCAAGCCCAUGUGUGCUGAGAGCUUCUCUGACUAUCCUCCACUUGGUCGUUUUGCUGUUUGUGACAUGAGGCAGGCAGUUGCUGUGAGUGUCAUUAAAGCUGUGGACAAGAAGGCUGCAGGAACUGGCAAAGUCACCAAGUCUGCCCAGAAAGCUCAGAAAGCUAAAUGAAUAUUAUCCCUAACACCUGCCACCCCAGUCUUAAUCAGUGGGGGAAGAAUGGUCUCAGAACUGUUUGACUCAAUUGGCCAUUUAAGUUUAAUAGUAAAAGACUGGUUAAUGAUAACAAUGCAUUGUAAAACCUUCAGAAGGAAAGAAGGUUUUGUGGACCAUUAUUUGUGUGUGUG
This 348-nucleotide long non-coding RNA is filed under the name Rattus norvegicus (Norway rat). RNAcentral's name for it is "long non-coding RNA NONRATT020768". The record is from RNAcentral. Lineage: Eukaryota; Metazoa; Chordata; Mammalia; Rodentia; Muridae.